AGAUAUCACUCUUUCUAUCCUUUACACAGAGAAGGUGCAUAUACACAUCUCAUGAAUGAUGAAGAUCGUGAGAACUUGAAAUGGCUACACGUAUUCAACAAAUAUGAUCUGUAUAGUAAGAGCAAAGUCUUAGUUGAUGUAGAAAAAGUUAAGCCAUACUAUCAAUCUCUUAUUGAGAAGUAUUUCCCAGCAAAGCUUAGAUGGUGAAACUUCAAUAUGAUGGAUGGAAGCCAAGAGGGAAUUGAGUUUUUUUUUUUUUCUUGAAACCAUGUUACAAAAUAUGUUGAAAGCUGAAACUGAUCAAUCCGUCACGUUUAUCCAGUCUUUAAACAUUGAACUACUGUACUCUAUAACGCAUAAAUUUAUGUACAUGCAUUGUGUAUUAGCAUACUGCGAAGAGCACAUAAUAAAUUAUAUACUAUUCAUAUA
Non-coding RNA from Arachis ipaensis, 429 nucleotides. The record is from RefSeq and is a predicted model, not a curated record. NCBI's taxonomy places the organism in Eukaryota, Viridiplantae, Streptophyta, Magnoliopsida, Fabales, Fabaceae.